This 468-nucleotide ribosomal RNA is filed under the name uncultured bacterium. RNAcentral's name for it is "partial 16S ribosomal RNA". It matches the Rfam family "Bacterial small subunit ribosomal RNA", at positions 28 to 507 of the family's 1533-position model. The record is from RNAcentral.
GACGAACGCUGGCGGCGUGCUUAACACAUGCAAGUCGAACGGAAAGGCCCUGCUUUUGUGGGGUGCUCGAGUGGCGAACGGGUGAGUAACACGUGAGUAACCUGCCCUUGACUUUGGGAUAACUUCAGGAAACUGGGGCUAAUACCGGAUAGGAGCUCCUGCUGCAUGGUGGGGGUUGGAAAGUUUCGGCGGUUGGGGAUGGACUCGCGGCUUAUCAGCUUGUUGGUGGGGUAGUGGCUUACCAAGGCUUUGACGGGUAGCCGGCCUGAGAGGGUGACCGGACACAUUGGGACUGAGAUACGGCCCAGACUCCUACGGGAGGCAGCAGUGGGGAAUAUUGCACAAUGGGCGGAAGCCUGAUGCAGCAACGCAGCGUGCGGGAUGACGGCCUUCGGGUUGUAAACCGCUUUCGCCUGUGACGAAGCGUGAGUGACGGUAAUGGGUAAAGAAGCACCGGCUAACUACGUG